Solanum dulcamara is the source of this 2147-nucleotide RNA transcript. It is a transcript of the gene named protein COFACTOR ASSEMBLY OF COMPLEX C SUBUNIT B CCB4, chloroplastic, with no coding region annotated. The transcript is spliced from 9 exons. Lineage: Eukaryota; Viridiplantae; Streptophyta; Magnoliopsida; Solanales; Solanaceae. The record is from RefSeq and is a predicted model, not a curated record.
UAGCCUUUUGGUUGAAAACAAGAAAAGAAGGUAUUAUCCGUUUUAUGAAGAUGGGAAAAAUGGAAGCGGGGAAUCUGCUUCGUUUCCUUCCGUUAAACCAACCGCCACAACGACUUGUUCAUUAUCCUCGUUUCCCUAAUGGUCACAAUUCCACUGUUACUCUUUAUGCUUCCCAGGGAGAAAGUGGGUAUAGAGGGCUGAAGCCACGGAGGGAAUGGAUAUCUGAUUGGGUAUCCAAUAAUGAUGAUUUGGUUCGGAGCAUGCCAAUUUAUGUGGGUGGAUUAUCUUUAUUGGUUGUUCUCUUCAAUCGUACUGUCUCUGGUAUCGCUCCCGUCGCUGAUGCUGGCAGUUCUCAAUCCAGAGCAGAUUUAUUGACACUUGGUUUGGCAGUCACCAACAUCUUAAAUGGUCUUGUUUGGCUUUCAAUCCGACCAAAAUCCAUAUCUGUGGUAAAUCCUAACGGUGUGGAGUGCCAAAGAACAGAUCCUGACCUACCAGAUUUUGUUAUUUCUGAGCUGCUAUGGGCAUGGAUUUCUCUAUCAGAUGUCACAUGCUGCAGGUCUCUUGUCAUUGUUUAUGAUGGAAAAUGUAUCCUUCAAACUGGGUUUGCUUCUGCAUCUUUAUCUAAUGGAAGUGAUGCAGUAGCUGUGGACACUAAUAAAUUGAUAAAAGGAUCACUUUACCAAGGUGUUCUAAAAUCUGCAUCACAGAGCUACUUGGCCAACUUAUCUCUUUAUCCUGGGAAGUCGGAGCUACCAUUUCUUCCUUCAAAUACACAGGCUGUAAUCUUGCAACCUCUAGGAGACAAAGGAAUUGCCAUAAUUGGGGGUGAUACAAUCAGAGGAUUCACAUCUUCUGACCAGGCAUGGAUCACAUUGAUUGGAGAGAAGUUAGAUUCUACACUGACAAAAGUUAUUUGACAUUCAUAGUGGCAGUGCAAGAUGGAUAUUUCAAGACAUUCAAACUGCAGUAUCUUAAGUUCAAGCAUUUGCCUAUAAUCAUGUCUACAUUCAAGAGACAGGUACUAGAGAUCAUCAACCAAUGCACCGUUGAAGAUCUUCUCACUUCCAGCUAGUUGGUGAGUCCUCUAGUUUCCGAAGGAUAUCGAGAUUAUCUUAAUAGCUUUGUUUUGUCCCUUUAUUUUGAUUGUUGGUAGCCAUGGACUUGUCAUUGUCACCUCCUGGAUUGUUGAUAGAGGCUUCAUAGAAUAGAGUGUGGAAGUGUUGAAUUGUUCGUUUUGACUAGUUUUAUUCUAGCUAGUUAUUGAUUGGGUAUUUGUUUGUCCUUUGGCCCUAAAUUAUGAAUAGUAUUCUUAUGAUUGAGUCUUCGGUUGAUAGAAUGUGAAUGAAUGAAAGUGUGGCUGGACCAGGUGGUUCGCUUGAAGGCUAGAAAUGGCUUUCGAGUGCCGGUCACGUCUAGGGUACCCUCUCGGGGCGUGACAAUCGAGACUUUCCAAGGUAAGUUUGUUCCUAAGAAACAUAUAGGUACACAGACUCCAGAAAUGAGUUCUCCAUCUCAGCCAAAAAUGGAUGAGACAGGUGUGCAUUCCCUUCUAAAUGCUAAGAAACCUACUGUAUCAGAUCAAGAUACAGCUAGUCCGGUUCAAACGGUAGCUAAUAAAGACAUAUCGAAUCCGUUAAUGGUUUUCACUUUGUCAAAAAGUGAAGAAGAGGGAUCUUCGUUCUCAUGAAGAAGAUUACCUAAAACUUUUCAAAAAGACAGUUCCAGAAAGACUAUGGCUCUGGAAAAAAAACAACCAAAUCGAAGUCAUAAUUAAGCAGACUUUGGAACAAUUUUUUAAAGAUCACGGACAAGAUAAGCAUGUUAUUAGUAAAGACGGUCCAAAUCCAGAUAAUGACAGAAUAAUUUCAAAUUCAGACGAAGAUGCCAACACCAGUCCGAUAAGAACACCAAGUCCAGAUGAAGACUAUGGGAGUAAUAAUUAUCAAGAUGUCCAAUACCCUUAUGAAGAUGAUGACUCAGGAAUAAACUUCGACUCCAUUGCCUUACAUAAUUUAGAUACAUAGUUCAUACUAAUACAGAGGCAAUAAAGACAAAAGGAUAAAUAUCUGUACUAAGAUGAGAUCAAGAUGCUGAAAGAUAAUAGUAUCUUACUUUGUUUAUUUAUAAUAAUUAUCAAAAUCAAA